RNAcentral lists this long non-coding RNA (1140 nucleotides) under Musa acuminata (dwarf banana). RNAcentral's name for it is "long non-coding RNA (MACU_LNC002999)". Lineage: Eukaryota; Viridiplantae; Streptophyta; Magnoliopsida; Zingiberales; Musaceae. The record is from RNAcentral.
UUUCAGAUCCAAACACCAAUGGCCGAGACCCAAACAAGCGGCCGCCAUCAUCACAGGCACAACGCGCAUCACCUGCACAGGCCGCCGCCCUGUAAGGGGAAGCUGAUCACGGUGCUGAGCAUAGAUGGAGGAGGUGUGAGAGGCAUCAUCCCGGGAACCAUCAUCAACUUUCUCGAGACGAAGCUUCAGGUGGGAAACCAAUCCAUCGUAGCCUUAGGGAUGAACCAGUCAAGUGUGGUCAACGACGAACUGUUCUGUGAGUGCAGGAACUCGACGGACCGGAUGCCAGGGUGGCAGAUUACUUCGACGUGGUUACAGGGACGAGCACAGGAGGACUGCUCACGGCCAUGAUCACCGCUCCUGAUGAGAAGCAGCGCCCGCUCUUCUCAGCCAAGGACAUCAUUGACUUCUACCUCCAGAAUUGCCCGAAGAUCUUUCCUCAAGGGUCGGUCCACGGCUCUUGCGUGCCCUUGUUCUGACGCACAGUUCCGAUUCUACCUCUGCUAACAUAUCAAACUCUCUAUCUCCUUGCAGAUCUGGAUUUCUCAGCUCGGUAAGGAAGUUGGCAGGUGCAAUUAUGGGGCCUAAAUACGACGGCAAGUACCUGCACUCCAAAGUCAAGGACCUGCUCAAAGACAUCAAGCUCAGUCAGACCUUAACGAACGUCAUAAUCCCAGCCUUUGACAUCAAGCUUCUCCAGCCCAUCAUCUUUUCAUCCUUUGAGGUGCCUCUUGAGUAGUCUUAAUCUUCAACAAUGGAGAUCUGAUGUCUGUAGAUCUGGUCAUAUUCAUGCCUUGUUACUCUCAGGCGAGAUUGGAGCCUCUGAAGGACGCGCAUGUAGCUGACAUUUGCAUCAGUACAUCGGCGGCGCCGACCUUCCUUCCGGCGCACUACUUCGAGACCCAAGAUUCCAAUGGAAACACUCGUAGCUACAAUCUCAUCGAUGGAGGUGUUGCAGCGAACAAUCCAGUAAGCAAGAAUCUAUGAGUAGCUUCCGAUUGCUUCCUUCUUUCGCUUGAUCUGCUUGCCGGUGACUGACUUGCCACCGUUUCUUGCGAUCCAGACCUUGGUGGCGAUGAGCCAGAUCAAGAAGGAGAUGUUCCUGAUGAACCAGGACUUCCACUCCUACAAGCCGAUCGA